This 253-nucleotide ribosomal RNA is filed under the name uncultured bacterium. Its description in RNAcentral is "partial 16S ribosomal RNA". It matches the Rfam family "Bacterial small subunit ribosomal RNA", at positions 524 to 776 of the family's 1533-position model. The record is from RNAcentral.
GACGUAGGGCGCGAGCGUUGUCCGGAUUUAUUGGGCGUAAAGCGCACGUAGGCGGCUUAGCAAGUCGGAAGUGAAAUCCCUCGGCUCAACCAAGGAAGUGCUUUCGAAACUGCUGAGCUUGAGUACGAAAGAGGAUCGCGGAAUUCCCGGUGUAGAGGUGAAAUUCGUAGAUAUCGGGAGGAACACCAGUGGCGAAGGCGGCGAUCUGGGUCGAUACUGACGCUGAGGUGCGAAAGCGUGGGGAGCAAACAGG